RNAcentral lists this unclassified non-coding RNA (299 nucleotides) under Hevea brasiliensis (rubber tree). Lineage: Eukaryota; Viridiplantae; Streptophyta; Magnoliopsida; Malpighiales; Euphorbiaceae. The record is from RNAcentral.
UUCUUAGGAACCAUAGGUCUAGGUUGCAAGGGUAUUGAUGGAUCAGAAUAAGGCAUCGGGUGAACUCUGUUUCCAUGAACCAUGUAUGGGGGCACAAUAAGAGCAUGUUGGUCGGAAGAAAUUUCAGCAUCCUCCUCGCCAUAUGUCAAAAGUGGAAUUUUAGAGCUAAGGGGAGAAGAAUCAAGUUCUGAGUGUGCGGGAAUUCCAGACACACUAGAAUGAGAAGCAAGCCCAGUAUUAAGGCGUGCAGAGAGCAUUGCUUCUGCAACUUGUUCUGGACCUAGGCCAUCAAAGUUUCC